AAAACUUUCAACAAUGGAUCCCUUGGUUCCGGCAUCGAUGAAGACCGCAGCU
This 52-nucleotide ribosomal RNA is filed under the name uncultured eukaryote. Its description in RNAcentral is "partial 5.8S ribosomal RNA". It matches the Rfam family "5.8S ribosomal RNA", at positions 1 to 50 of the family's 154-position model. From Rfam's summary of the family: 5.8S ribosomal RNA (5.8S rRNA) is a component of the large subunit of the eukaryotic ribosome. It is transcribed by RNA polymerase I as part of the 45S precursor that also contains 18S and 28S rRNA. Functionally, it is thought that 5.8S rRNA may be involved in ribosome translocation. The record is from RNAcentral.